UACGUAGGGAGCGAGCGUUGUCCGGAUUCAUUGGGCGUAAAGAGCGUGUAGGCGGCCGUACAGGUCAGCUGUGAAAACUCGAGGCUCAACCUCGAGACGUCGGUUGAAACCGUACGGCUAGAGUCCGGAAGAGGAGAGUGGAAUUCCCGGUGUAGCGGUGAAAUGCGCAGAUAUCGGGAAGAACACCCGUGGCGAAGGCGGCUCUCUGGGACGGUACUGACGCUGAGACGCGAAAGCGUGGGGAGCGAACAGG
Molecule: ribosomal RNA, 253 nt
Filed under: uncultured bacterium
Lineage: Bacteria
Description: partial 16S ribosomal RNA
Rfam family: Bacterial small subunit ribosomal RNA
Source: RNAcentral